AACGAACGCUGGCGGCAUGCCUAACACAUGCAAGUCGAACGAGACCUUCGGGUCUAGUGGCGCACGGGUGCGUAACGCGUGGGAACCUGCCCUUAGGUUCGGAAUAACUCCCCGAAAGGGGUGCUAAUACCGGAUAAUGUCUUCGGACCAAAGAUUUAUCGCCUUUGGAUGGGCCCGCGUUGGAUUAGCUAGUUGGUAGGGUAAAAGCCUACCAAGGCGACGAUCCAUAGCUGGUUUGAGAGGAUGAUCAGCCACACUGGGACUGAGACACGGCCCAGACUCCUACGGGAGGCAGCAGGUGGGAAUAUUGGACAAUGGGCGAGAGCCUGAGCCAGCAAGGCCGCGUAAGUGAUGAAGGCCUGAGGGUUGUAAAGCUCUUUUACCCGGGAUGAUAAUGACAGUACCGGGAGAAUAAGCUCCGGCUAACUCCGUG
This 433-nucleotide ribosomal RNA is filed under the name uncultured bacterium. RNAcentral's name for it is "partial 16S ribosomal RNA". It matches the Rfam family "Bacterial small subunit ribosomal RNA", at positions 29 to 507 of the family's 1533-position model. The record is from RNAcentral.